UACGUAGGGGGCAAGCGUUGUCCGGAUUUAUUGGGCGUAAAGAGCGUGUAGGCGGCCAGACAGGUCCGUUGUGAAAACUCGAGGCUCAACCUCGAGACGCCGAUGGAAACCGUCUGGCUAGAGUCCGGAAGAGGAGAGUGGAAUUCCUGGUGUAGUGGUGAAAUGCGCAGAUAUCAGGAAGAACACCAAUGGCGAAAGCAGCUCUCUGGGACGGUACUGACGCUGAGACGCGAAAGCGUGGGGAGCGAACAGG
Molecule: ribosomal RNA, 253 nt
Filed under: uncultured bacterium
Lineage: Bacteria
Description: partial 16S ribosomal RNA
Rfam family: Bacterial small subunit ribosomal RNA
Source: RNAcentral